Non-coding RNA from Caerostris darwini, 89 nucleotides. The record is from the annotation of a GenBank genome assembly. Lineage: Eukaryota; Metazoa; Arthropoda; Arachnida; Araneae; Araneidae.
ACGGCCGUACCAUACUGAAUAUAUCGGUUCUCGUUAGAACACCGAAGUCAAGCAUCAUUGGGCGCGGUCAGUACUUGGGUGGGUGACCA